GGCCAGACUCCUACGGGAGGCAGCAGUGGGGAAUAUUGCACAAUGGGGGGAACCCUGAUGCAGCGACGCCGCGUGAGUGAAGAAGUAUUUCGGUAUGUAAAGCUCUAUCAGCAGGGAAGAAAAUGACGGUACCUGACUAAGAAGCCCCGGCUAACUACGUGCCAGCAGCCGCGGUAAUACGUAGGGGGCAAGCGUUAUCCGGAUUUACUGGGUGUAAAGGGAGCGCAGACGGCUGUGCAAGUCUGGAGUGAAAGGCGGGGGCCCAACCCCCGGACUGCUCUGGAAACUGUAAAGCUGGAGUGCAGGAGAGGUAAGCGGAAUUCCUAGUGUAGCGGUGAAAUGCGUAGAUAUUAGGAGGAACACCAGUGGCGAAGGCGGCUUACUGGACUGCAACUGACGUUGAGGCUCGAAAGCGUGGGGAGCAAACAGGAUUAGAUACCCGAGUACC
Molecule: ribosomal RNA, 448 nt
Filed under: uncultured bacterium
Lineage: Bacteria
Description: bacterial SSU rRNA
Rfam family: Bacterial small subunit ribosomal RNA
Source: RNAcentral